GAUGAACGCUGGCGGCGUGCCUAAUACAUGCAAGUCGAGCGAACGGACGAGAAGCUUGCUUCUCUGAUGUUAGCGGCGGACGGGUGAGUAACACGUGGAUAACCUACCUAUAAGACUGGGAUAACUUCGGGAAACCGGAGCUAAUACCGGAUAAUAUUUUGAACCGCAUGGUUCAAAAGUGAAAGACGGUCUUGCUGUCACCUAUAGAUGGAUCCGCGCUGCAUUAGCUAGUUGGUAAGGUAACGGCUUACCAAGGCAACGAUGCAUAGCCGACCUGAGAGGGUGAUCGGCCACACUGGAACUGAGACACGGUCCAGACUCCUACGGGAGGCAGCAGUAGGGAAUCUUCCGCAAUGGGCGAAAGCCUGACGGAGCAACGCCGCGUGAGUGAUGAAGGUCUUCGGAUCGUAAAACUCUGUUAUUAGGGAAGAACAUAUGUGUAAGUAACUGUGCACAUCUUGACGGUACCUAAUCAGAAAGCCACGGCUAACUACGUGCCAGCAGCCGCGGUAAUACGUAGGUGGCAAGCGUUAUCCGGAAAUAUUGGGCGUAAAGCGCGCGUAGGCGGUUUUUUAGUCUGAUGUGAAAGCCCACGGCUCAACCGUGGAGGGUCAUUGGAAACUGGAAAACUUGAGUGCAGAAGAGGAAAGUGGAAUUCCAUGUGUAGCGGUGAAAUGCGCAGAGAUAUGGAGGAACACCAGUGGCGAAGGCGACUUUCUGGUCUGUAACUGACGCUGAUGUGCGAAAGCGUGGGGAUCAAACAGGAUUAGAUACCCUGGUAGUCCACGCCGUAAACGAUGAGUGCUAAGUGUUAGGGGGUUUCCGCCCCUUAGUGCUGCAGCUAACGCAUUAAGCACUCCGCCUGGGGAGUACGACCGCAAGGUUGAAACUCAAAGGAAUUGACGGGGACCCGCACAAGCGGUGGAGCAUGUGGUUUAAUUCGAAGCAACGCGAAGAACCUUACCAAAUCUUGACAUCCUUUGACAACUCUAGAGAUAGAGCCUUCCCCUUCGGGGGACAAAGUGACAGGUGGUGCAUGGUUGUCGUCAGCUCGUGUCGUGAGAUGUUGGGUUAAGUCCCGCAACGAGCGCAACCCUUAAGCUUAGUCGCCAUCAUUAAGUUGGGCACUCUAAGUUGACUGCCGGUGACAAACCGGAGGAAGGUGGGGAUGACGUCAAAUCAUCAUGCCCCUUAUGAUUUGGGCUACACACGUGCUACAAUGGACAAUACAAAGGGCAGCGAAACCGCGAGGUCAAGCAAAUCCCAUAAAGUUGUUCUCAGUUCGGAUUGUAGUCUGCAACUCGACUACAUGAAGCUGGAAUCGCUAGUAAUCGUAGAUCAGCAUGCUACGGUGAAUACGUUCCCGGGUCU
This 1371-nucleotide ribosomal RNA is filed under the name uncultured bacterium. RNAcentral's name for it is "bacterial SSU rRNA". It matches the Rfam family "Bacterial small subunit ribosomal RNA", at positions 28 to 1381 of the family's 1533-position model. The record is from RNAcentral.